Canis lupus familiaris (dog) is the source of this 863-nucleotide long non-coding RNA. RefSeq lists it as uncharacterized. NCBI's taxonomy places the organism in Eukaryota, Metazoa, Chordata, Mammalia, Carnivora, Canidae. The transcript is spliced from 3 exons. The record is from RefSeq and is a predicted model, not a curated record.
CAAGACCUGAGCUGAGAUCGAAAGUCAGGUGCUUACCAACUGAACCACCCAGGUGCCUUAGUGUUUGAGAAGGUUCGCUGACAAAUGAUUUGGAGUAACCCUGACCCUGCUUAACGUGAGAUGUUCCUGUCAGUUCCUGACCGGCAUCAUGGUUUGCUCGUCUCUCUACCUCCAGGUGUGGAGUAGUUGAUGUCAAAUACUUCUUCACAAGUUUCCUGUUUCCAUCAGAACCAACACAUCCUGUGGAGACUUCCGGCUCAUGGAUGAAGCGUGUGCACCAGGAGAGUCAAAUCGCAUCGAAUGCUUCCCAAAGGAGUUCUCUUUUCCCCCUUUUCACUGGCUUCCUUCUUUUCUCUUAUCUCUGCUCCAGUCCCCUCUUGCUCCAAAUCCUCAGACUUCCUCUGUAGAUUCCAAAGGAUGAUUUCAGAGGCCGGGAGCUCGGGGGCCUGUGUUUGAGCAGGACCCUCAUGGGCCUCCUUCGGCUCCGGGUAAAGCCCUGACGUUGGCCCAGUCACACGAGCAGUAUAAAAUCUGUAGGUAAUUAAAGAGCUCUCAACUCUCCUUUCUGCCCUACAAAUACAUCCCCCGGGAGAGCCAUCGCCGUUUCAUAACCCUCAUGCACCGGGGUCAGGGCAAUAAAGGCUGCUGGAACUCCAAAGGUUAGAUGAGAGGAGGUAGCUAUUCCUCUUUGGUACCGCAGUAUGCAUUAGCCUCUCUGCUCCCCCAGGCGUCCUACAGGCAGGAGCCCCCAGACAUGUGACUUUUAUAGGAGCUAAGAAACCUGGAGAGUGGGGGGUAGAGCGUUAUGUGCCACGGUAGGGAGCUGACGUGGGCUUUCCCUAUCUGAAAAUGGAGUCAGCCCA